RNAcentral lists this ribosomal RNA (1176 nucleotides) under uncultured fungus. RNAcentral describes it as "eukaryotic LSU rRNA". The stretch from base 544 to 1176 matches the Rfam family "Eukaryotic large subunit ribosomal RNA", at positions 1 to 648 of the family's 3401-position model. Lineage: Eukaryota; Fungi. The record is from RNAcentral.
AGUCGUAACAAGGUUUCCGUAGGUGAACCUGCGGAAGGAUCAUUAAUGAGUUAGGGUCUUCUGGGCCCGAUCUCCAACCCUUUGUAUAAUUACCAUGUUGCUUUGGCGGGCCCGUCUUUAACUAGACCGCCGGGAGGCUUUUUCGCCCCUGGCCAGUGCUCGUCAAUAGCCCUUGACAAAUUCUUUUUAACCAUGUUAAAUCUGAAAAUAGUUAAAAUAAACCAAAACUUUCAACAACGGAUCUCUUGGUUCUGGCAUCGAUGAAGAACGCAGCGAAAUGCGAUAAGUAAUGCGAAUUGCAGAAUUCAGUGAGUCAUCGAAUCUUUGAACGCACAUUGCGCCCUUUAGUAUUCUGAAGGGCAUGCCUGUUCGAGCGUCAUUAUCACUAAUCAAGCCCGGCUUGCUGUUGGACCUUUUGUCGUAAAAAGACAGGCCCUAAAGAUAAUGACGGUGUCUUUUUGACCCUAGAUACAACGAGCUUUAAUUAGCACGUAUCUAUAGUGGACUUUUGGACCCGGUCUUUUGUAACCAAUUUUUUCAGGUUGGCCUCGGAUCAGGUAGGAAUACCCGCUGAACUUAAGCAUAUCAAUAAGCGGAGGAAAAGAAACCAACAGGGAUUACCUCAGUAACGGCGAGUGAAGCGGUAAUAGCUCAAAUUUGAAAUCUGGCUCUUUUAGGGUCCGAGUUGUAAUUUGUAGAGGAUGUUUCGGGCACAGUUAUGGUUUAAAUUUCUUGGAACAGAAUGUCAUAGAGGGUGAGAAUCCCGUCUUGACCGAUUACUUCGUCCAUGUGAAACUCCUUCGACGAGUUGAGUUGUUUGGGAAUGCAGCUCAAAAUGGGUGGUAAAUUUCAUCUAAAGCUAAAUAUUGGCCAGAGACCGAUAGCGCACAAGUAGAGUGAUCGAAAGAUGAAAAGCACUUUGAAAAGAGAGUUAAACAGUAUGUGAAAUUGUUGAAAGGGAAGCGCUUGUAAUCAGACUUGAGCUCAACAGUUCCCCCUUCGUUCUCGUUGGGUUAUUCUGUUUUGUCCAGGCCAACAUCAGUUCGAGUGGUUGGUUAAAGACUUUAGGAAUGUAUCUACCCCCCGGGGUCGACUUAUAGCCUAGAGUGUCAUGCAGCCUACUUGGACUGAGGAACGCGCUUCGGCUCGGAUGUUGGCGUAAUGGUUAUAAGCGAC